CUUCUUCUCUCUCUCUCUCUCCCUACCUAAGGAAUCGAAAACCUCUAAGCUUAGGGUUUCUCGAAUACCGCACUCUAAUUCUUCUCCGCUACCUUUGAAUCUCUGCUCAUAGCUUGUACCUUCUUCUUUGCCGCUAAAUGCUCCAUCUGUUAGUACCAUUUGUUUGGCUAGCCGUGAAGAAUCGAGCCCAAGUCUGUGGAAGAUAGAGUCUGUUGAUGGUUAGCUGAGAUAAGGUAAUUCAGUUUUUGAACACUUGAGGAUUAGUUAACUCUAACAUGGAGAAGAAUGUUGUGGUGGAGGAGAAUAAUCAAUGUAACAGUUCUAACCUUCUUUCCAAGUCUGUGGAGUCAUCCAUUAAGAUUGACUCAAUAUCUAUAGAUCUCAUCAAUGCCAAUCAGAAGACAGAUGCAGAAAACUGUCAACAUUUUUCAAUACGUGGAUAUGUAUCUGAAUUUCGCAAAAAAGACUGGAAGAUGUGUUGGCCAUUUGCUCCAGACGGUGACUGUAACAAGCAUGAUGAACAAGCAUGUGGGCUUCCUUCCUUACAUGUUCCAAAGUUUAGAUAUUGGCGUUGCCAUAACUGCCUGUCAGAUAUUGGUGCCAAAGGCAUUGGAAAUGAUUAUGGGACCAUCCUUACGUCUUGUACUGGUGGAUUAAAAUCAAAUAGCAUUUGUUCCCAUGCAUCGAUCCUUGAAAAUGUUGCAAUGCUACUAUCUGAUUUUCAGCAAUCUCCACAGCUACACAUUCUUGAGGAGAAAAAGGUUGAUGCUAAUGUUUCAGCUAAUCUGAAUAACGCCACUGAAUAUCAUCCUGUGCCAUGCAUUGAUAAAAAAGAAAAGAAAACUGAAGUUGCAAGUCCCACCGUAGGGCACAAUAUGGAGUCCGCUGGUAAUUUGAAUGAGGAAAUGCAUAGAUUGACUACAGAAAUUCCAAGCCUGAUGCAGAAAACAUAUCAUACAGAAGACAUAGUAAAUCUAAAAUCAAAGUGUAAUGGAUCUAUAGACCUAUUCAAGCCAGCCUGUGGACAUCAUGAAGUUGCUGACGCUGAAUUGACUGGAAGUCUCAAUUGCAUGGUUAAAAGUUCUUCUAAGAUUCAUGAAACUGGGAAAAUAAUUUCUCUGGAUGAUCAACACAAUGGGUUAACAGCUUGUGGAAAAUCAGAAGAAGCAGGUAAUAUUGACAAGGCAUGUAGUGCAGACAAAGGUCAAGCAAGUGGGCAUCCUUCCCUGAAAUUGGAUGAGUGUGAUUAUGCUUCAUCUGAGAGUGCUGAGAUCAUGGUUGGGAAUAAUCUUCAGGAUCUUCAUCAUGAUAAUUCAAGUGGGUUGCAUCGGAGAAAAACUAGAAAAGUGCGUCUGCUAACUGAAUUGUUAUGUGAAAAUGGUGAUGGAGACACAGAUAAUGUUAGGACUGAUGAUUCUUUAUCCACUGUCAUUCCUGAUGCAUUGACAGUAGGCGAUAAGCUCCGUGCUCCCCUAAGUCAGGUGGCUAUCUCAGGAAAUGUCAGAAGGGGUUUGGGUCAACAUAGGAAAAGGAAGUUGGAUCAGGAUGAAGACUGGAGACCCCUGGAAACGAGCUCUCCCAUUAAAGCAUGUAAAGAAGCUAGGAUCUUAAAGAGAGAUCUGGAAUCCACUGAUGCAAUUGAAAAGGCAUUUGCUAGAAUGCACUUACAAACUAGUAUGAAGAAUGGUUGCACCAAACGUAGAAUUGAUGGAAGUCCUAGUAUAGGUAAGAAGAAAAGCAAAAAAUCCCUGAUUUCAAAUGAAAGCUCAUCUUUAGCAAUUAUACAAGAAAAGGUGCCUAAUGGAAUUGGGAACAAAACUGGAGACAUAUCAAAUGGUAAUGCCGCUGAUGGAGUUUUGCUCAAAUCCAUGCAUAAUGAAGUUACAGACAGAGAGGCAGAUUUUUUCCCUUUGUCCACUCAAAGAAAUGAUAGGAAAUCAAGUUUUAAGAAGAAAAGUAAGAUGCCUCAAGUUGAUGAUCCACAGGCUUCCUUAAUUCCUUGGAAUCAUGGCAUGCUCAAAGAAGAUCUCAUAAGUAGAAAAGAUGCUGAGUUCUUGCAGACUGAGCCUUUAAGGCUUCCAUAUCAUUCAGCACAGGUUACAGCCAGUGAAAAAGGACUAAAUCUUUCUCUUAACAGCUACAUGACCAAGCAAAAGUAUGACAUGCGGCACAAUCUACAGGUUGAAGACAGGCGAAUGUCUUUGAUUACUCAGCAAGAGGGCACUGCAGAAGAUCAAGUAAACAGGAAUGCUGCAGAAACCACAUACGUUGGCAAUUUCAGUUUUGCUUCUAAGCCAAUAUUGGAUAUACCUUGUGGCAAGGGAGAAUAUAUCGGCAUGAGUAGCAAGAGAACUACCGGUAGAAUGCCCUUCCAUAACGAGAAGCAGAACUACACAUCUCAGUUUGAUAUCGGCAAUUGUUCUCACCUGCAGCAAAAGAAUUUUUAUGGUACAACCGGCAACAUGAAAACAAUUGGAAUUCAGGAAUGUUCAGUACUUGCAAGGAAAGACGGUGACCAGAGAGCUAAUAAGGUGUCUGAACAGGGAGCUUUAGAUGACAUUCCCAUGGAAAUUGUUGAACUCAUGGCAAAGCAUCAAUAUGAGAGGUGUCAACCUGAUGGUGAACAUGAUAGAUGCCAAUUAGAAAUGACUAAUAAUACUAAGAUUGGUCAGGCAAUGGAUUUUAGUAAAGCAUAUGGGAGUGGAGAGAUGAGCUUAUUUCAGCAGGAAACUUCUCAAAAACGAAAUCUUCCUGUUAAAAAUGGAAUAACCAAGAGGGGUGAAAAUCUGGGACCUGCCAAACAGAAGUCAGUUGAAUACUUUUCCCGGGCUGAUCUAAACCAAUUCAAUAUGAGCAAGCUGCAACAAACUCCUGCUCCUCCAGGGUUUAAGGCAUUUUUUCAGUGUCAAGAAAAGCCAUCAAGUGGAUUCCACCAUUCUGCUUCCAGUUCUGGCAGGCAAAAUAGUGCUCAAAAUUGCAAGUGGGUUGGGGAUGUGGUGGGGAAGAGGUCCUUUCAUAACUGUUUGCAGACCUCAGGAACAUGUAAUGCAUGCCAGGGCAUUCCCCAGCAGAGUAAAGAAACAAAUCAUCUUUGGUCCACCAUGAUGCCAAAUCACAUGCCUUUUGUGUACAACAUUCCUCAAAAGUGUGCUGCGCUAUCUCCCAAUUUAGAUGUCCUCUCGAAUUCUCCUUGCAGUAUGCCUAAGGAAAAUAGAAGCGGUGAUCAUGGUCUGAAGCUUCUAAAUCAGAAUGCUGCCAGCUUUGGAAGGCCAAAUAGAAAUGGUUCUGAGACUCUCAGGACAUGUUCAGAGUACCCAUUUCCUUGCAAACAUAAUGGGAUUGAGCUUAAUCAAAAGCCUAUGGGAUCUUUAGAUCUGUAUUCUAAUGAAACCAUACCAGCAAUGCAUUUGCUUAGCCUCAUGGAUGCAGGACUUCGGUCUCGUGCACCAAUAAAUCUGGAUGUAACCCCGAAGUUCCUGAAAAGGCCUUCCAUAACUCAUGAUCAAGAGCCUAUUGAGUUUUCUAGGCUGGAUUCUGGAGCCUAUCAAGCCACCAAUACCAUGAAGCACACAUCAUAUGAUUAUCAGGGUAAAAAUAAACUUGCAGAGGAUUCCCAUGGACGAAUUUCUGCCAUUCCAGCAGUUGUUGGUCCAUCUGCUUCUUCAUUUAAACAUGAUAAAUGUUUCA
RNAcentral lists this unclassified non-coding RNA (3687 nucleotides) under Hevea brasiliensis (rubber tree). Lineage: Eukaryota; Viridiplantae; Streptophyta; Magnoliopsida; Malpighiales; Euphorbiaceae. The record is from RNAcentral.